Long non-coding RNA from Gopherus flavomarginatus (Mexican gopher tortoise), 2884 nucleotides. RefSeq lists it as uncharacterized. The record is from RefSeq and is a predicted model, not a curated record. Lineage: Eukaryota; Metazoa; Chordata; Testudines; Testudinidae. The transcript has 4 exons.
CCUGAUUAAUCACAACUGGGAGCCAUUGUGUCUUGAGCAUAGCACUCUACGUUCUCAUUGUGUCUCGUUAACGCUGGCUCUUGCGAAUAACCUGGGAUCUAGAGGCAAACUCACUGACUAACUUCCUCCCUUUGCCAUCUAUUCUCUUCAGCGUCUUCCACGACAUCUGUCCCCUUGGUAUCUGAACACCUGCCCUUCGGGUUGUAUUUUGCAAGGAAAAGAGCUAGGAACUUUUGCUUUCAUGAAAGCCACGUUUAGCCCUGACCCAGCCAAGUCCCCAAAGCAGUCAGGACCGAAUCUGCUUCACAAAAUCCAAGCUCUAUCAAUCACCUUCCUGCAUCAUUUCUGCUCCCCUUUGCCCGAAUUCCUGCUUCACUCCUGGAUCCCUUGUGUUUGUAUUAUGACCCUGCCUGCACUAUUGGUUCCAGUUUUUGAAAAUUUCCGUGAGAUCCCUUCCGAGUCUCCAGUUGUGCAACCACAAAGACGUUACUCCUUCGCUAUGAUCUUCCAGCUUGAUACAAUCUUUGCUGCCCUUUGUUCCAUUCUCGCCUGGGCUGUAAUCUCCCUGUGGUCUGGUGAUGGGGAUUGCCCAAGGAAUUCUAGCUUGGGCGGAGAGGGGACACCUGCGGCGGUAACAGCGUCACCUCUGUCCUUUAAAGGGCUCGAUUUGCAAGAGGAGGGGCAUGCUGGCAUGUAGAAUAUGCUCAGUGCAAAGUGCAAUAAGGACACAUCCAUGCAGACCCUCAGAGCAUCCUCUGCCGUGAUGUCCGAGCCAGGUCUGGGCCUGUGUGUGAUUAGACGUGUCCAACAGAUUCAGGGUUUUAUAAAAGGAGGGGAAAUAAUAAAAUCUAAACCAAGCACCAGACCCCAGAGGCUCCAUUAGGAAUGUCCCCAUUGCUACUGAUUUUACCCAGAAGACGCUCGUGUUCUUCAGUGAAGGGAAGCAGUCAAACAGCUUCAGAUAAGCCAAGUGGUGGGGGUUCUGGAGACAUGUCAAAGUACAGAAACAGCCAGCGCUAGACAGAAUACAGGGCUGCUGUAUAGAAUCGCUCCACUAUGCACUUGUACCUAUUAGGGAGAGGCAGCAAAGUGUAGUGGUUAGAGCUGGGGUGGGCCUGGGUUCUAUUCCUGACUGCUAGUGACCUUGGGCAAAUUGCUGCAUGCCUCAAUUUGCCCAUCUAUAAAACAGUGGAUGAGAACCCCACAGCACUGAGAUCACCAAAUGGACUUAGAUGCGAGCUAUAUUAAUGCUGCAAAGGAAUAUUAUGAGAUUUGUAUGUAAACACCACUUAGCUCAGUGGGAAAUGUGUUGCAUGAGCUGUGGCAUGCAAGCGGGAAGUAAAGUGUGCAAAAGAGCAUGUGCAGAGAACUGCCACGUGCACUGAUGCUGCAGGUGCAAUUCUGAACAUAAUUCUUCUUUUUUUCUGUGCAAUUUUGCAGACUGGACCCCUCAACUGAGCAUUUUCCUGCACACCUCAGAAAAGGAGGUCUAUUUGGAACACCUGACUCAGAGGACAUAAAUCCUGCUGCUGUCUCAGACUCUUGUGAACAUAAGAACGGCCAUACUGAGUCAGAUCAAUGGUCCAUCUAAACCAGUAUCCUGUAUUCCCACAGUGGCCAAUGCCAAGUGCUUCAGAGAGAAUGAACAGAACAGGACUGCGGCCAGCAAAAUGAUUAGAAAAGCCUCCAUCUCCUUGGGAUCCUCUCAGCUUGCAGAGAAAAGGACAGCUUCUCCGGUGGGGACAAUGGAUUGCCUUGGCAAACCAGGACAGCAGUUUUAAAGGCUUGGUAGCAGAGCCAACACAGCUCUGACAGUCUGGAUUGACUUUUGUUUACAAUUUACAAAAAUAGACAAAGCAAAAACAAAAGGAAAUCUUCAUAUGAGAGAAAGAGAGAGAGAUAGCACAGUGUAUUCAAAUCCUUCUGUAACAGCCAUCGUGAACUGACAAACAGCACUGCCUCUAGUGGGAAGACAAGAAGACUCAAUCCAUUUGAAGGUGCUGUACAUAUGAGAUGUUAUCUGAUUAAAAUAUGACCAUGUAGACCAUUGUUACUACCACUGUUAUAUAAUUGCAAUAAAUCUUAUACAUAGUGUGCCAUGUAAGGUGUCAAUGGAAAGGUUAUGAUUUGCUGAAUAUGAUUAUCCUAUUUGUAUGCAUAUAUCCUUUUUGUAUCUGAAGUUAUGAAUAUUGACUAUGUACUUGUAUUUCAAAUGUAUUUGCUCCUAUGGUAGCACCCACAGGGUUAUUUGCAUCCUGUCUGGCCAGCACAUUGUGAAUGGAGUAUUCAAGUUGAUGGCUCAUCAGUGAACACAACGGACCAUGGAAGAAGCCUAUCUACACCUGAAGGACUUUCCUGUGAACGUUCUAACUAGAGUUUGGGUAAUAUCCUCUGCUAUGACUCAGGAAAGUGUGCAAGGGCAUGUGACUAAAAUCAUGUGACCCUAAACUCCAUCUUGUUACAUGUAUUUUUCUACAAACUGGGCGGAGGGCUUUGUUUGGACCAAUGGGUUUCCCUCCACAUGGCAGAAGCUAGGAAAGGCGCUGGAAACAUCUCCAUUUUGCCUCUUUCCCACUCUAACCUCUGGACUAUGGACUUACACUAAUGGGAGCAUUCUAACCAAGGCACUGAGAACCUUCCAAAUUAUUUGGAAGCAACCAGAGAUUUAACAAGCCAGCAGUUUAUGCCAUCACUGCUACAAGCCUAAUCCAAGAACUUUUCAAUUAUUGUAUGUAUUUGAUUCCUUUAACCAAUUUUAACUCUCACCUUUUUCUUUCUUUUUUUAAUAAACCUUUAGUUAUUAGAUACUAAAGGAUUGGCAACAGCAUGAUUAUUGGGUAAGAGCUAAGAUACAUAUUGACCUGGGUAUGUGGCUGGUCCUUUG